This 388-nucleotide ribosomal RNA is filed under the name uncultured Succinivibrio sp. RNAcentral's name for it is "bacterial SSU rRNA". It matches the Rfam family "Bacterial small subunit ribosomal RNA", at positions 355 to 740 of the family's 1533-position model. The record is from RNAcentral. Lineage: Bacteria; Pseudomonadati; Pseudomonadota; Gammaproteobacteria; Aeromonadales; Succinivibrionaceae.
UGAGGAAUAUUGGUCAAUGGGCGAGAGCCUGAACCAGCCAAGUAGCGUGCAGGAAGACGGCCCUAUGGGUUGUAAACUGCUUUUAUAGGGGAAUAAAGUGAGCCACGUGUGGUUUUUUGCAUGUACCCUAUGAAGAAGCACCGGCUAACUCCGUGCCAGCAGCCGCGGUAAUACGGAGGGUGCAAGCGUUAAUCGGAAUAACUGGGCGUAAAGGGCAUGCAGGCGGUUUAUCAAGUAGGAUGUGAAAGCCCCGGGCUCAACCUGGGAAUUGCAUUCUAAACUGAUAGACUAGAGUAUUGCAGGGGGAGACGGAAUUCCAGGUGUAGCGGUGGAAUGCGUAGAUAUCUGGAAGAACACCAAAGGCGAAGGCAGUCUCCUGGGCAAAUAC